UUAAAAGAGUUACAAUAAGACAGACUGGCU
RNAcentral lists this non-coding RNA (30 nucleotides) under Mus musculus (house mouse). Lineage: Eukaryota; Metazoa; Chordata; Mammalia; Rodentia; Muridae. The record is from RNAcentral.